UACAGAGGGGGCAAGCGUUGUUCGGAAUUACUGCGCGUAAAGGGCGCGUAGGCGGCCUUCUAAGUCGAACGUGAAAUCCCUGGGCUCAACCCAGGAACUGCGUCCGAUACUGGAAGGCUUGAAUCCGGGAGAGGGAUGCGGAAUUCCAGGUGUAGCGGUGAAAUGCGUAGAUAUCUGGAGGAACACCGGUGGCGAAGGCGGCAUCCUGGACCGGUAUUGACGCUGAGGCGCGAAAGCCAGGGGAGCAAACGGG
Molecule: ribosomal RNA, 253 nt
Filed under: uncultured bacterium
Lineage: Bacteria
Description: partial 16S ribosomal RNA
Rfam family: Bacterial small subunit ribosomal RNA
Source: RNAcentral